UACGUAGGGUGCUAGCGUUGUUCGGAAUCACUGGGCGUAAAGCGCACGUAGGCGGUUGGGUGAGUCAGCGGUGAAAUCCCGGAGCUCAACUUCGGAACUGCCUUUGAUACAGCACGUCUUGAGUCCGAUAGAGGUGGGUGGAAUUCCUAGUGUAGAGGUGAAAUUCGUAGAUAUUAGGAAGAACACCGGUGGCGAAGGCGGCCCACUGGAUCGGUACUGACGCUGAGGUGCGAAAGCGUGGGGAGCAAACAGG
This 253-nucleotide ribosomal RNA is filed under the name uncultured bacterium. RNAcentral describes it as "partial 16S ribosomal RNA". It matches the Rfam family "Bacterial small subunit ribosomal RNA", at positions 524 to 776 of the family's 1533-position model. The record is from RNAcentral.